GGAGCCAUGAGGAAUUCAUGCCUUGCAAAGGGGAGGAGCCUGCCCUCUUGAGCUCUUGUGGUGACCUGGGAAUCAAUGUGUGAGGUGGUGCUAUGUAGCAGGAACCCCUCUUGCUUUGCAAAUAGUUUUUUGUUUGUUUUCCUUUUUGCCCAAUAGAGCCCUGCUCUACUGACCCUUCAAUGUGCCCGUGUGCCUAAAUAUUCCUGGUCGUGUGAAAAGAACCCAGGUAUUAGCUGAACUAAGGAGCACAAUUCUGCAACAUUUUGGCACCCAAACACGGGGCUUGAGAAAUGAAUGCAAUUGGAGAAACUGGUUGUUUUACCAGGCGUUGAUUGGAAAUGUGUGCUUCCCUUUAAGCAGUCAAGCUCAACUUGCAGAACUGAUGGGAACCCCUUGGGAAAACUGGCCUCAAAUGUUUGUCUACACAGUCCACAUACAGGGUUCUUAACCUGCGACUGACCCUGCUUGUGCCUGUGAACCAACCAACAAUCUCUGGCUGCAGCUCAGAAAGGACAAAAGAGAAUGGAUGAGGGAAACUUCCCAGGGCUUGUCUGGGUAUGCCCACAGUGGACUGGAGCCCAAAAUGCACACUGGAGGAAGUGGAUGGAGCCACGUGGAUGUCAUGCCUUAUGCAGGGGAGGAGCCUGCUCUCUUCAGCUCCUGUGGUAAUGUGGGAAUCGAUCUGUGAGGAAACACUUUCUGAAAAUGUCAGAACUCUUGAAAACAUGGAUGAGGAAAAGCAUAAGUACUGCUUUAUGCUUUUCUUAUGAAUUUUAAAAGAUGUAAUUUAAAGGUACUUUAAAGUGAUAUUUGUGCCCUUGUAACUGAUUCAAAGUAGACUGCUAAGGACAAUAAGUAAUAAGAGUCUACAAAUAUCAGUAAAUUAUGAGAAAAAACGGUCUAAUGGUACUUAAAAUUGCAUUGUGAUUUAUUAAAUAACAUUGAACAGCUCCACCUGUAACAUUAAGAUUCCAUUUGAGCAUAUAGAAAAUAUAUUUAUCGCAACCUGAAGUGAUUUGGAAAGUAUGCUGGGAAGAAAAUAUAUUUACAAAUUAGUCUCAGAGGGUAGGUAUCCUGUAGCCAGAUGGAAUAAGAAGAGAGGGAAGGGAGAUUUUGUUCAAAGGGGGAGCAUAAGCUAAGGAAUAAAGCCACAAACAAUGAUUAAAUUAGGUAAAGUGCAAUUAGCUGAAUAUUGCAUAAGCAUACAUAUGGGAAGAAGUGGAAAAAGGAGUGACAAUAUGAAGCUAAAGGGUUUGAAGUGUUCAAGAUAAUACUAGGCUUCCUAGCCUAUUCCGAGACAUCUUGUUUUAGAGUGCAAUAGAUAAGAACUCUAAGGAUGAAAGUAGGAGACAUGCAUUCUAGUCUACGUUUUGGUUAAUGGACUGAAAGUGAAAGAUGGACUGAAAUUGGGGGAUGGAAUAAAAAUGUGAUAGAAUAGAAAAUAGAAAAAGCAAUUAGCCUAAUGUCAUUGAUACUUAGAGAAAAUAUGGAAAAUAGUAAAUUAGUGAUAUAUAUCUUUUCUAAUUCACCAGGGUGAGUGAACAAAGGAAAUCGGAUUUAAAAGUAUUCAUGACAUAGAUGCAAUAAGGUUUCUCAGUCAGACAUAGCAAAUUGAGGGAAGGGAAGAUUUAGAGGAUUGGAAAAUGUCUUGCUUGUAGACUAAUAGGAUAUCAAUAAGCCAUAUGAGCAAUAAUUUGAAAUAGUUUUUGUAAAGUAUCAUGAAGGUAAACCCUGUUUAGAACAAAUUAGAUUUGAAGUACUUGUGACAAAUGCAAUUGACAAUGCCUUUAUGCAGCUGGAAAAUUGUUGCUUAGCAGAAAAGCUUGUGCUGGACAAAUAGAUGUCCAAAUUGAAUAGAUGUUUUCUUAAGCUGAACUAAUUGAGACAAAUAUCCUUAUUAAAUCAAAAAAUUAAAAAUUGAAAUAACUUACCUAUGAUAGGGUAAAUAAUGUUAUUAAUAUACACAAGAAAUAUGUGAUGUAUAUGUGUAUGUACAUAUGUAUACAUAGUAAUAAUACAUAGUGCUAUUUUUAAAUGAUAUUUUACAUAGUGCUUUUUUAAAUGAUUUUUCAAUCAUCGUUGUUGGUCUGUGUUAUUUUAAUCAUCAAAGCUGAUUGAUUUCUGUUUUUGUGUUUUUUUUUGUUUUUUUUGAGGUGGAGUCUCACUCUGUCACCCAUGGUGGAGUACAGUAGUGCGGUCUUAGCUCACUACAAACUCCACUUCCCUGAUUCAAGUAAUUCUUGUGCCUCAGCCUCUCGAGUAGCUUGGAUUGCAGGCAUGCACCACCACGAGCUGCUAAAUUUUUUGUAUUUUUUGUAGAGGGGUUUUGCCAUGUUGGCCAAGCUGGUCUCAAACUCCUGACCUCAAGUGAUCCGCCCUGGCUUCCCAAGCCCAGCUGAUUCCUGUUUAAAUAAAAACUUACAAAGAUCUUCCCACAAGUACUUUAUCUUACAAUUUACUGAACAAUAGAGGCAGUGAAGAUGUUUUUCAGAAAGCAAUUGUGAUCCUGACAUUUUCUUCUUAUAAUCCUGUGCUUUCCUCAUUUUUUUAUAUUAAAAGUAAUAGUUCUUGUGAUGGCAACUAGGAUUUGUAACAACAUGUACCCUCAUUUCCUGCAUGACCUUUUUUAUGUCACUUCUUCACAUGCAAAGUAUACUCCCUCAGUGUCAUUACAUUAUUUGAUUUUUGCCCUUUCCCUCACCUUUCCAUGUGUUUAUUUGCCUAUGCCCAUCUCCUAGUCACAUUUUAUCUAGUUAACGCCAACUUGACUUUCAAUGCUGUUCAAGAUUUACCUCAAUCUCAAGUGUUUUCUCUUUAUAUUCCAUACACGCUUAGCUUGGCUGCCAAUCCUCUUGGCUGCCAAAGAAUCCCAAAUUAUCUCUUUCAAAAAUACAAGAAAUAAAGGAUGGAGGAUAGGAAGGAGGGUGGUCAGGAAAGAACAAAGAAAGGAGGGGAGAGGAAAAAAAGAGAGAAAGAAAGAGAAUUAAAGUUAAGGAGGAAGAAUUUCACACUGAAUUAAAAUUGAUAAUAUUCAGGAAUGAUUUUAUAGUAGGCAUACAUUGAUAAAUAUUAGUUAAAUUAAUGAAUUAUUCCAAAAGAUCAUGAUUUGUAAAAAUUACCCUGAAGCACUUUAGGAAUAUUACAUUGAAAUAGGUAUGCAAUUUCUAAAGAAACUGGACUGCAAAAAUAGCCAUUGUGUGUACCUGUGGACCAGAAUAUUAUAUUUUGCUUAAGUUUGAAGUGUUAAAGUGCCCAACGUGCUCUUAUUUUAACCUAGCAAAUUUUCAGCAGAACUUAAGCUCAUAUAGUAUUUGAUUUUUUCAUUUCUCACAACUGUUGGAAUUCUGUUUUAUUGAAAAUUAUACAAUAAAAUGUUAAAAAAUCUUUGUUCCUGCAGUUAUGCAAUCUUAUGCCAAAGUCAAUAAAUUAUUAAAUUAAAAUCAAACCCACUAAGCCUAACAAUUUGAGAAAAUGAUUAUUAAAACAUAUACCAUUUAGAAGGGCAAUGCCUUUUUAAUAUUAUAGUGAAGACAACCCUAUCAAUUAUUUAAUACACCAAGAAUACAAGGAUAUAAAAUCUUUUUCUCUCAUAUAUCACAUUAUCUGAUGUAUUUAGCUGUGAUGACAUUCCAGAAAACAUCACUUUUUAAAAUUUCUAAGAUUUUAUUAUGUUGCUAGCAAAUCGAUUUUUUUCAAGUACUGUAACAAAAUCCCUAAAUGGGCUUUAUGAGAACUAUUUUCAGUGUGAUAUUAAUCAUAUUUUAUUUAUCAUCCAUACAUAGAUGGUAGCUUAUCUGGUAUUCCUAGUGUUUGAAGUGAAGAGUAACACACACACACAUCCCAAUACCAAUUUAAUUGAUAAAUAUAUAAUCAUUUGUUUUCAAAUAUUUAUGUUGAUACUUGCUUGUGUACUUACUUGUAAUGUAGGUCUGUAAAAGGGACUGUUUUCUUUCUGUGAAACUGAAGCUUAAAGCAGUGCUUGUCACAAAUUCAAAAUCACCUUGCUUUGUCAACAUUUUCAGAUGUUUUUGGCUCAGUCUGAUGACAGCAUCAGUGCAGUAAAGGGAUCUUAUUGAAAUGUUUUAACUAAAGAUAAAAUGCCACCACUAGGAGAAAAAUAAAAUCAAGGAAAUAAACAGAAAAUCAAUAAAUGUGAAAUGUAUUAUAAAUUUAUAUAAUAACAAUGUUGUAUGCUAUAAACAUCUCACUUUGUAAAAUUAACAAGAAUUCAGUGAGGCAGAUCAUUUUCUAUGUGUUCAGAAGUCAAGUCUUUGAUGGCUAAUUUUUAUAUUACUUCAUUACAAUAUCUCUACUGAAGCAAAAUAAUUGCAAAUCUUUUUGAAUGAAAUCAAUUUAUCUUUAAUUUUAGAUAAUAUUUGGUAUAGUUGGCAUAGUUUUGUCACAAAGCAUAGCUAACAUCAAUGUAGCCUUACGACUUCAAAUGUCUUUAUAGAUCUUUUCUGAAAUUGCAAAAUUUUACUUUGAAAUUAUUGUUAAUAUUUACGUUGCACAACCACAAAUGUAGAAAUAAAAUUAUAAAGUCUCCAGAUAAUGUUUUAUUUUAACCACACAUAUGUUGUGAUAGUUUCAAAUAAAUGAAAGCUCUACUGAUUUAUCAUUUUCAA
RNAcentral lists this long non-coding RNA (4625 nucleotides) under Homo sapiens (human). RNAcentral describes it as "p53 upregulated regulator of p53 levels". Lineage: Eukaryota; Metazoa; Chordata; Mammalia; Primates; Hominidae. The record is from RNAcentral.